CUCCAUGAAGCAAGACAAGGUCAUCCUCCACAUGCAUGAAUUGACCUGCCCCAAACUUGGGGCCUAACUGUCCAGCUGAGCUUAUAUAUCUUGGUCUGGAGAGCUGCCUCAGACUCUCCAAUGGAUCUAUUCAAACAGCUGCCUCUGUUACCUUGACUCGUCUCAGAUUUCGUCGAACUGAGACAGGUCCUGGCACUAGGAAUGGGAUCAUCUUCAUGCUGAGUCUUGGACACCAACCUGAAUUCUCCUAUAGAGAAACUGGACAUCUGCUCUUGAUGGGGUGUAGUGGAUAAGGCAUAGCACCUGUGAUCAGGAGAUCUAGAUCUGAGUCUCAGUUGUGACACUUUUUUCUGUGUUACCUUGGGAAAGUUAUUUACCCUCUCUGAGCCUCAAUUUCCUCACUAAAAGGGGA
Pan troglodytes (chimpanzee) is the source of this 412-nucleotide long non-coding RNA. RefSeq lists it as uncharacterized. The record is from RefSeq and is a predicted model, not a curated record. The transcript is spliced from 3 exons. Lineage: Eukaryota; Metazoa; Chordata; Mammalia; Primates; Hominidae.